This 267-nucleotide ribosomal RNA is filed under the name uncultured prokaryote. RNAcentral describes it as "partial 16S ribosomal RNA". It matches the Rfam family "Bacterial small subunit ribosomal RNA", at positions 355 to 639 of the family's 1533-position model. The record is from RNAcentral.
UGGGGAAUAUUGGACAAUGGGGGCAACCCUGAUCCAGCCAUGCCGCGUGAGUGAAGAAGGCCUUCGGGUUGUAAAGCUCUUUUGGCGGGGGCGAUGAUGCCGGUACCCGCAGAAUAAGCACCGGCUAACUUCGUGCCAGCAGCCGCGGUAAUACGAAGGGUGCGAGCGUUGUUCGGAGUCACUGGGCGUAAAGGGCGCGUAGGCGGUUCUCCAAGUUAGGUGUGAAAGCCCUGGGCUCAACCCGGGAAUUGAACUUGAUACUGGAUG